This 279-nucleotide unclassified non-coding RNA is filed under the name plant metagenome. RNAcentral's name for it is "partial contains small subunit ribosomal RNA and internal transcribed spacer 1". The stretch from base 1 to 46 matches the Rfam family "Eukaryotic small subunit ribosomal RNA", at positions 1786 to 1831 of the family's 1831-position model. The record is from RNAcentral.
AAGUCGUAACAAGGUUUCCGUAGGUGAACCUGCGGAAGGAUCAUUAUUGAAUAAACUUGGUUAGGUUGCUGCUGGCUCUUAGGAGCAUGUGCACGCCGACUCCAUUUUUAACCACCUGUGCACCUUGAGUAGACCUGAAUGUAUGUCGAGGAAACUCGGUUUGAGAAUUGCUGUGUUUACAUGCCGGCUCUUCUUGAUUUCAGGUCUAUGUUUUCACAUACCCCAUACGAAUGUAUUUGAAAUGUCGCAAUAGGCCUUGUGCCUUUAAAAUAAAUACAA